AUUGAACGCUGGCGGCAGGCCUAACACAUGCAAGUCGAACGAGUGGCGGACGGGUGAGUAAUGUCUCGGAAACUGCACGAUGGAAGGGGAUAAGUACUGGAAACGGUAGCUAAAACCGCAUCUCACCUGAUGUGCCCAGAUGGGAUUAGCUAGUAGGGGGGGUAAAGGCUAACCUAGGAGACGAUCCCUAGCUGGUCUGAGAGGAUGACCGGCCACACUGGAACGGAGACACGGUCCAGACUCCUACGGGAGGCAGUAUUGGGGAAUAUUGCACAAUGGGCGCAAGCCUGAUGCGGCCAUGCCGCGUGUAUGAAGAAGGCCUUCGGGUUGUAAAGUACGUUCAGCGGGGAGGCGUUACCCGCAGAAGAAGCACCGGCUAACUCCGUGCCAGCAGCCGCGGUAAUAC
RNAcentral lists this ribosomal RNA (406 nucleotides) under uncultured bacterium. Its description in RNAcentral is "partial 16S ribosomal RNA". It matches the Rfam family "Bacterial small subunit ribosomal RNA", at positions 30 to 526 of the family's 1533-position model. The record is from RNAcentral.